This 253-nucleotide ribosomal RNA is filed under the name uncultured bacterium. RNAcentral describes it as "partial 16S ribosomal RNA". It matches the Rfam family "Bacterial small subunit ribosomal RNA", at positions 524 to 776 of the family's 1533-position model. The record is from RNAcentral.
UACGGAGGGUGCAAGCGUUAUCCGGAUUCACUGGGUUUAAAGGGUGCGUAGGCGGGCUAUUAAGUCAGUGGUGAAAGCUCCGAGCUUAACUCGGAAACUGCCAUUGAUACUAUUGGUCUUGAAUUCGGUCGAGGUUGGCGGAAUGUGUCGUGUAGCGGUGAAAUGCUUAGAUAUGACACAGAACACCGAUUGCGAAGGCAGCUAGCUAGACCGACAUUGACGCUGAGGCACGAAAGCGUGGGGAUCAAACAGG